AGAGUUUGAUCCUGGCUCAGAGUGAUCGCUGGCGGCGUGCUUAACACAUGCAAGUCGAGCGAAUUUCUGCAGUGUAUCGCAGGAGUUAGCGGCAGACGGGUGAGUAAUACUUGGGCAAUCUACCCUCGAGUGGGAAACAACCGGCCGAAAGGCUGGCUGAUGUCCCAUAAGACCACAGGAGCGCAUGCUCUAGGGGUCAAAGCUCCGCAAGGGGCGCUGGAGGAGGAGCCCGAGUCCUAUCAUGGUAGUUGGUGAGGUAACGGCUCACCAAGCCUUUGACGGGUAGCCGGCCUGAAAGGGUGAUCGGCCACACUGGCACUGAGACACGGGCCAGACUCCUACGGGAGGCAGCAGUGGGGAAUUUUGGACAAUGGGGGCAACCCUGAUCCAGCGACGCCGCGUGAAGGAUGAAGGUCUUCGGAUUGUAAACUUCUUUUGGAGGGGAUGAAUGUCUGCGUGAAUAACGCAGAGUGACAGUACUCUCUGAAUAAGCCACGGCUAACUACGUGCCAGCAGCCGCGGUAAUACGUAGGUGGCAAGCGAUACUCGGAAUCACUAGGCGUAAAGCGCAGGUAGGCGGUUCGGUAAGUCUUUUGUGAAAGCUCCCGGCUCAACUGGGAGAGGUCAAGGGAAACUACCGGACUAGAGUGUGGUAGGGGAUACUGGAAUUCCUGGUGUAGCGGUGAAAUGCGUAGAUAUCAGGAGGAAUACCUAUGGCGAAAGCAGGUAUCUGGGCCAUCACUGACGCUGAGCUGCGAAAGCUAGGGGAGCAAACAGGAUUAGAUACCCUGGUAGUCCUAGCCCUAAACGAUGCUCAUUAGAUGUGGGAGGUAUCGACCCCUUCCGCGUCGCAGCUAACGCAUUAAAUGAGCCGCCUGGGGAGUACGGCCGCAAGGUUGAAACUCAAAGGAAUUGACGGGGGCCCGCACAAGCGGUGGAACAUGUGGUUUAAUUCGACGCAACGCGAAGAACCUUACCUGGGCUUGAACUACUCGUGGUAAGCCGAUGGAAACAUUGGCUGACCCGCAAGGGAGCGAGCAGAGGUGCUGCAUGGUUGUCGUCAGCUCGUGUCGUGAGAUGUUGGGUUAAGUCCCGCAACGAGCGCAACCCCUAUCCAAUGUUGCCAUCAGGUAACGCUGGGAACUCUAGUGGAACUGCCGUCGUAAGACGUGAGGAAGGAGGGGAUGAUGUCAAGUCAUCAUGGCCUUUAUGCCCAGGGCUACACACGUGCUACAAUGGGGCGUACAAAGGGCUGCAACAUAGUGAUAUGAAGCUAAUCCCAAAAAACGCCUCUCAGUUCAGAUUGGAGUCUGCAACUCGACUCCAUGAAGCUGGAAUCGCUAGUAAUCGUAGAUCAGCAACGCUACGGUGAAUACGUUCCCGGACCUUGCACACACCGCCCGUCAAGCCAUGGAAGCCGGGUGUACCUAAAGUCGGUAACCGUAAGGAGCCGCCUAGGGUAAAACUGGUGACUGGGGC
This 1479-nucleotide ribosomal RNA is filed under the name uncultured Chitinophagaceae bacterium. RNAcentral's name for it is "bacterial SSU rRNA". It matches the Rfam family "Bacterial small subunit ribosomal RNA". The record is from RNAcentral. Lineage: Bacteria; Pseudomonadati; Bacteroidota; Chitinophagia; Chitinophagales; Chitinophagaceae.